GGGAAAUGGAGCUGGAUCCUGGGAAAUGGAGCUGGAUCUCAGGAAACUCACUGAAUCCCAGGAAAUGGCCCCAUCCUGGGAAACAGCCCCAUCCCAGGAAACUCCCCUGAUCCUGGGAAAGCUGCCCCAAAUCCGCUCCUUUCCCGGGAAUGCUGCCCCAAAUCCACCCCUUUCACCCCCAAAAUCGUGGGAAAACUGCCCCAAAUCCACCCCUUUCACCCCCAAAAUCCCAGGAAAACUGCCCCAAAUCCACCCCUUUUGCCCCCAACUCCACCCCUUUUCCUUCAAAAUCCACCCCUUAUUCCCCCAAAUCUGCCCCUUUUACCCCUGUGUUCUGGGAGAACAAUCCCAAAAUCCCAUUUUUUUCCCCCAAAAUUCCCGUUUUCCCCGCAGAGAGCGGCUCCGUGUUUGCCUUCGGGGAGAACAAGCUGGGCCAGCUGGGGCUGGGGAACCAGACGGACGCCGUGCCCAGCCCCACCCAGAUCCUGUACAAUGGGCAGCCGAUCUCCAAGCUGGGCUGCGGGGCCGAGUUCAGCAUGGUCAUGGACUGCAAGGGGAACCUGUAUUCCUUCGGGUGCCCCGAGUACGGCCAGCUGGGGCACAAUUCCGACGGGAAGUUCAUCGCGCGGGCGCAGCGCAUCGAGUACGACUGCGAGCUGCUGCCGCGGCGCGUGGCGCUCUUCGUGGAGCGCACCAAGGACGGGCAGGUGCUGCCCGUGCCCAACGUCGUGGUCAGGGACGUGGCCUGCGGGGCCAACCACACGGUAUGGGAGUGCGGGAAUGGGAUAAUGGGAUUGGGAUAAUGGGAAAGGGUCAGGGACGUGGCCUGUGGGGCCAACCAUACAGUAUGGGAAUAGGGAAUAUGGGAUUGGGAUAAUGGGAAUGUGGGAAUGGGUCAGGCAUGUGGGACCAACCACAGGGUACAGGAAUAGGGGAAUGGGAUAAUGGGAUCAGGAUAAUGAGAAUGGGUCAGGGUCAUAGCCUGCUGGGCCAGCCACACAGUAUGGGAAGGUGGGAUUGGGAAUGUGGGAUUGGGAAUGUGGAAUUGGGUCAGGGACGUGGCCUUCGGGGCCAACCACACAAUACAGGAAUAUGGGAUCAGGAAUGUGGGAAUGGGAUAAUGGGAAUAGGUGCAGGAAUGGGAAUGGGAGAGGGCAGCUCUCAGCCCCUGCUCCCCCCUCCCCAGCUGGGGCUGCAUUCCCAGGAAU
This 1208-nucleotide long non-coding RNA is filed under the name Junco hyemalis (dark-eyed junco). RNAcentral's name for it is "lncRNA (ENSJHYG00000013463.1)". Lineage: Eukaryota; Metazoa; Chordata; Aves; Passeriformes; Passerellidae. The record is from RNAcentral.